AAAUAAUAUUAAGCUUUUUAUAAUUGGUUGAAUUAAUUGAUUAAAUGAUAUAUUUUUUUAGAUAACAACUUUCUAAAUAUUUGUGCUUUUAAGUAAAACUACUAAUAAUUAAAAACAGAGGGAGUAUUAGUUAACUCUCAUGAUAUAAAUUUCCGCACUUCUCCAAUAUUUGCAUUAUCUUAAAGCAAACACAGUCCCGAUCAAUCAAUACACAUACAGACAUUAGAGUGAGAUUGAUUGGUUUAGUUUAAGUUAAACCUGAGGAAGCUUGACAGUCAUUGAAGCAGCGACGAGAAAGUAACCGAGCAGUUUCGAAACGAGGGGAAAGAAACAAUCUUUCGCCGGAAACUCGCCGUUACGGAGGGACUCAAUCGCGCAGUGAAGAUCCAUUCCGAGAUAAUCCAUCGUUUUAUCCAUCACGAUCUCCAUCGUUAACACUCGAUUUUGUUCAUCGUACCUGAAAUCUCGUGUUAGGUUAAUCUGAGAAGAAGGUACAAUGGCAAAGAGAGAGAGAUCAGUAGCACUUUGAGGAAUUUAAAGAGGAGGAGGAGAAGAAAAAGAUUGAUGAAGAGCCUAAUGGGAGUUUUUCUUCCCUCGAAAGUGUUACAAAGAAGUGGUACCGCAAUCUUUUAUUGUUAACGUUUUGUUCGCUCUAGUUGUGUAUGUGUUGUCUACCCUUCUGUUCUUGUUGUUUUGGGCUUGUCAUUGAUUACUUCCUUCUUGUUCUUUUAUAGUGUGGUUAUUUGUCAGUAUCUGAUAUCGCGUGUUUGGUUGUGUUUUCUAAUGCGUGGUUUGAUGAUUUUCAAUGCAGUGUGGUGAUAAGUACGGUUUGAUGUUCUUCUCCUUCUGAGCUUUCUGUAAUAUUAAACUAUUCUUUUUUUUUUAGAAACUGAAUGAAGAAGCAAUAAACGGUCGAGAAACAGAUGCUUCAACCGCAAGCUCCAGAAGUAAUGGAGGAAGAAAUGUCUUUUAGUGAACCUAUGAUUCAGCCAAGCCGGGAAACAAAUGGUGACUUGAAAGGGAAACAAUCUGAGGGAGUGUCUGAGGAACAAAACCAUCCUAGCAAGUCUCCGAGGAGCAGUGACAAAACCAUCACGGAACAACAAGAAAGGCGGCGAAGGUUUCAAGAAACCCAAGAGUAGAAAGGCGGCCUGGAGCGUUUUGGAAGCCACCGAAAACUUAAACCAACAAGGGUUCAAGUUAGCUUAUUGCAGCAUCCUAUUUGCAAUUAGUUCAUAUCGGUUCAUAUGUGAUAGUAGAUCAUUCCUUCCGCUUGUCUGUUUCCGUUUGACAAAUUAUAGCCAAAAGUUUUGAACUCUCUACUUGGUUGUUUUACACCUGUGUUAGCUCCAGUCUCCAGAUAUACGAGGGAACAAUAUGUCUUUCCACCAAGG
This is a long non-coding RNA of Brassica rapa (field mustard), 1394 nucleotides long. RefSeq lists it as uncharacterized. Lineage: Eukaryota; Viridiplantae; Streptophyta; Magnoliopsida; Brassicales; Brassicaceae. The record is from RefSeq and is a predicted model, not a curated record.